RNAcentral lists this long non-coding RNA (339 nucleotides) under Elaeis guineensis (African oil palm). RNAcentral describes it as "long non-coding RNA (EGUI_LNC057882)". The record is from RNAcentral. Lineage: Eukaryota; Viridiplantae; Streptophyta; Magnoliopsida; Arecales; Arecaceae.
GGUGUGUAGAAUCUGGUGUAAUAAAGUUCUACCUAUUUUUCUCUUCGCGGCGUCGACCCUGGGCAGAAUCUUUUGGCGCGGGCUACGCACACGUGUCGUACUUUCAUUGGACGCCAUGCACCCGCAGGCAAGCUUAAGGGGCGCUUGGUUCAGCUGCCUGACAGCGGGCCCUCGAACCCACCCGGAAUCCAAACUGCAUUCAAAUCCAAUUAAAUCUUAGAAGUAGAGAGAGGGAGAGAGGGAUCUAUAAGAUGAAAAGAGACGACGCGGAAUUAGAGCGUAGGCUAAAGAGGAGGUUGAGAGAGAGAGAGAGAGAGAGAGAGAGAGAGAGAGAGAGAG